GGAACUGAAUCAUGGAAGCACUGUCAGGCUUAGAUCUUAUGAUACAUAGGCAUUGUCCCACCAGACAUGAGGUAAUAUUUGAUUCCUGUAUGUAGAGCUUCUUCCUACUACUGCUGCUUUAGAUUUUACAUAUUAAAUUUUUGAGGAGCUUUACUUCUCCAACUGUAGGUUAGUUUCAAAUUUCAUCAUAUCCAUAGUUGUUUUAGUCUGAUGGAUAGUUAGUUUGAUGUCUUAUUUUAUGAUGUUUUCUGAAUAUUAGGCUGUGCCCUGAUACCUUAGUCCGACCUUGGAAUACAUUUACAUGUAUUGAUUAUGGGAUAACAAAAUAUCAUUUUGUAGACUGAACCGAUUAUGGCGAUAGCACAUUGAUAUUUUGAUUUUUGACAAUUUGAAGAACCGAUAUUUAUUAUACAAUAGGAUAUAUCAUAUAUGUGUAGCAUUAUUUGGUUUGAAAGA
This 456-nucleotide long non-coding RNA is filed under the name Arachis ipaensis. RNAcentral's name for it is "long non-coding RNA (AIPA_LNC000134)". The record is from RNAcentral. Lineage: Eukaryota; Viridiplantae; Streptophyta; Magnoliopsida; Fabales; Fabaceae.